UGUCUUGGAGUUCUUUGCCCAAUUAGACAAACCUUCUUGAAAUUAUAGGCAUUGUUUUUUUGUCUUUGUUUUUGUUUCUCCUAAAGCAGAUGACACAGUGCUGUUUAUGUUGGCCAGCACCCAAUAAGCAAAUAAUGGGAAAUUGAUUAUUGAUUAUUUCCUCAUUCCCAAGUGAAAAGGAGAAAGGUAUCUCUAUUGGAGAUGAACGCAUGUUCAAUACACGUGGCCUGCCUGAGUCAUUAGCAAAGUGUCCAACAACUCUGAGGCGUAUCCUCAAAUGAAGCCUUGUCUCUGUGAAAUUCCUGGUAAGAGAAGUUGAGGCAUCAAUAGUGGAUCAGGAGAUAAAUCGUCAUUUUAUGGAAUGCCACAGGAAGAAGUUUUCUUUACAAGUUCUGAAGACUUGUGAUGAAUGAGUCCAUAGUUUCACCUUUGAAAAUGUCCCUGGGAGUGUCAACCCCAUCACUUUUACUUAUAUUACACUCAUAAUCAGUUCAUCUCGCCAAGAAAAAUAAUAUUAUCCUCAUGCCCAAACUUGUGACUUGAUUUGAAAACCAGUAAAUCAGAAAUAAAACUUCCCAUGUGUUUUUUUCCUACAUGAAUCCAAGUGACUCAGAUAUUGUGUUAUUCAAUAAGACUAUUACCAUGACUCAGGUAAAAGGGCCGUUUAUAUUUUCUGAAGUCUCAAGUCUAGGGUCCAAAAUAAAACUAGCAUCUUUUAUAGAAUAAUUUUUCUCUAAAAUGAAAUGUGUAUGU
This 753-nucleotide long non-coding RNA is filed under the name Homo sapiens (human). RNAcentral's name for it is "HSALNT0269160". Lineage: Eukaryota; Metazoa; Chordata; Mammalia; Primates; Hominidae. The record is from RNAcentral.